CUAGUAACGGCGAGUGAACCGGGAAGAGCUCAAAUUUGAAAUCUGGCGUGCUCAGUGCGUCCGAGUUGUAAUCUAUAGAGUCGUUUUCCGUGCCGGACUGUGUCCAAGUCCCUUGGAACAGGGUAUCAAAGAGGGUGAUAAUCCCGUACUUGACACAAUGACCGGUGCUCUGUGAUACGUCUUCUACGAGUCGAGUUGUUUGGGAAUGCAGCUCAAAAUGGGUGGUGAGUUCCAUCUAAAGCUAAAUAUUGGCGAGAGACCGAUAGCGAACAAGUACCGUGAGGGAAAGAUGAAAAGCACUUUGGAAAGAGAGUUAAACAGUACGUGAAAUUGUUAAAAGGGAAACGAUUGAAGUCAGUCGUGACUGAGAGGCUCAGCCGGUUCUGCCGGUGUAUUCCCCUCAGUCGGGUCAACAUCAGUUUUGUUCGGUGGAUAAGGGCAGUUGGAAGGUGGCACCCUCGGGUGUGUUAUAGCCAGCUGUCGCAUACAUCGGAUGAGACUGAGGAAUGCAGCUCGCCUUUAUGGCCGGGGUUCGCCCACGUUCGAGCUUAGGAUGUUGACAUAAUGGCUUUAAACGACCCGUCUUGAAACACGGACC
RNAcentral lists this ribosomal RNA (598 nucleotides) under Papiliotrema laurentii. RNAcentral describes it as "eukaryotic LSU rRNA". It matches the Rfam family "Eukaryotic large subunit ribosomal RNA", at positions 80 to 667 of the family's 3401-position model. The record is from RNAcentral. Lineage: Eukaryota; Fungi; Basidiomycota; Tremellomycetes; Tremellales; Rhynchogastremaceae.